UACCAGCACCCCGAGUGGUCGGGACGAUUAUUGGGCCUAAAGCAUCCGUAGCCGGUUCUACAAGUCUUCCGUUAAAUCCAACUGCUUAACAGGUGGGCUGCGGAAGAUACUAUAGAGCUAGGAGGCGGGAGAGGCAAGCGGUACUCGAUGGGUAGGGGUAAAAUCCGUUGAUCCAUUGAAGACCACCAGUGGCGAAGGCGGCUCACUGGCCCGGUACUGACGCUGAUGUGCGAAAGCGUGGGGAGCAAACAGG
This 253-nucleotide ribosomal RNA is filed under the name uncultured bacterium. Its description in RNAcentral is "partial 16S ribosomal RNA". It matches the Rfam family "Archaeal small subunit ribosomal RNA", at positions 474 to 727 of the family's 1478-position model. The record is from RNAcentral.